RNAcentral lists this long non-coding RNA (242 nucleotides) under Lathyrus oleraceus (garden pea). RNAcentral's name for it is "Pisum sativum (pea) long non-coding RNA (PSAT_LNC038202)". Lineage: Eukaryota; Viridiplantae; Streptophyta; Magnoliopsida; Fabales; Fabaceae. The record is from RNAcentral.
UUGGAAACUCGUGUGUGUUCAUGUACUUAGUACAAAAUGAAGAACACACCCAAGUCAACUGUGCAUGGAUAAUGUUAGUAAUUCUACUACAUCAAAAACAAAAAAUAUAAUUCAACAAAAAAUGUUUAACAUAUACUGAAAUAAAACUAAAGAAACUGGAAAAAAAACUUCUUAAUGAUAUCACCCAUGUUGUACCGAUCAAUAACUCUCAUUGGAAACCUCAUCGUCAUCUUCUCCUUGAU